Molecule: ribosomal RNA, 450 nt
Filed under: uncultured bacterium
Lineage: Bacteria
Description: partial 16S ribosomal RNA
Rfam family: Bacterial small subunit ribosomal RNA
Source: RNAcentral
GUGGGGAAUAUUGGACAAUGGGCGAAAGCCUGAUCCAGCCAUGCCGCGUGUGUGAAGAAGGUCUUCGGAUUGUAAAGCACUUUAAGUUGGGAGGAAGGGCAGUAAGCUAAUACCUUGCUGUUUUGACGUUACCGACAGAAUAAGCACCGGCUAACUUCGUGCCAGCAGCCGCGGUAAUACGAAGGGUGCAAGCGUUAAUCGGAAUUACUGGGCGUAAAGCGCGCGUAGGUGGUUCAGCAAGUUGGAGGUGAAAUCCCCGGGCUCAACCUGGGAACUGCCUCCAAAACUACUGAGCUAGAGUACGGUAGAGGGUAGUGGAAUUUCCUGUGUAGCGGUGAAAUGCGUAGAUAUAGGAAGGAACACCAGUGGCGAAGGCGACUACCUGGACUGAUACUGACACUGAGGUGAGAAAGCGUGGGGAGCAAACAGGAUUAGAUACCCCGGUAGUCC